This 253-nucleotide unclassified non-coding RNA is filed under the name uncultured Micrococcaceae bacterium. Its description in RNAcentral is "contains 16S-23S intergenic spacer region". It matches the Rfam family "Bacterial small subunit ribosomal RNA", at positions 524 to 776 of the family's 1533-position model. The record is from RNAcentral. Lineage: Bacteria; Bacillati; Actinomycetota; Actinomycetes; Micrococcales; Micrococcaceae.
UACGUAGGGCGCGAGCGUUAUCCGGAAUUAUUGGGCGUAAAGAGCUUGUAGGCGGCUUGUCGCGUCUGCUGUGAAAGCCCGGGGCUUAACUCCGGGUGUGCAGUGGGUACGGGCAGGCUAGAGUGCAGUAGGGGAGACUGGAAUUCCUGGUGUAGCGGUGAAAUGCGCAGAUAUCAGGAGGAACACCGAUGGCGAAGGCAGGUCUCUGGGCUGUUACUGACGCUGAGAAGCGAAAGCAUGGGGAGCGAACAGG